CCAUUAUUCCUUAAGGAAAAUUAACAUUUUGAUAGGGGAUCCUAAAAAGAACAACAGGGGCAAUAUUCAGAUUUAAUUUGUUCAUAUUUUAUUUCCAGUAUUGGCUCUUUAAGAGAGUAAUAUCUGAGUGAAUCAGAGCUUUAACAAGAAUGCCUAGAGAAGAGAAUUUAUAAUGCUGCUCCAGACUCCCUGAGAAAUAAACAUGCUUCUUCUGGGCUGAAAGAUAGGGGAGAAAAUGGAAUAUAUCUAAAGAGGAAGUGAACUGGAGAGGCUGGAGUUAGAGUCCCAAGGGAAAGGAGAUGACCACCCAGUCUGGGGCCAGAGUCAAGAGACCUCAUAGAAGGUGAACCCUGUUCACCAUUUACUUGAGUACCAGGUCUGUAGAUGAAUCAAGUCAACCCUUAUUCUAUAGAAUGAACAAAAAGCAAAUAUGAAAGCAAUGUUUAGUCAAACUCCUUCAUUCAAUCUUUCCAACCAAACUCCCAGAAAAGAGGUAAACUACUGCAGAACUCUCUAACACUCACAGAGCCAAUAGAGGUUAAGAGUGUGUACAUAAUUCAAUAUGUGUACUUGGGUGAAACUGGAUAGGUGAUAAAACAUACCUAGUUAUAACUGUAAUUGCACAAGAUAGUUACUUGUUGAAA
Molecule: long non-coding RNA, 644 nt
Filed under: Bos taurus (domestic cattle)
Lineage: Eukaryota; Metazoa; Chordata; Mammalia; Artiodactyla; Bovidae
Description: long non-coding RNA NONBTAT022339
Source: RNAcentral